CCUACGGGAGGCAGCAGUGAGGAAUAUUGGUCAAUGGACGAGAGUCUGAACCAGCCAAGUAGCGUGAAGGAUGACUGCCCUAUGGGUUGUAAACUUCUUUUAUAUGGGAAUAAAAUGUUCCACGUGUGGGAUUUUGUAUGUACCAUAUGAAUAAGGAUCGGCUAACUCCGUGCCAGCAGCCGCGGUAAUACGGAGGAUCCGAGCGUUAUCCGGAUUUAUUGGGUUUAAAGGGAGCGUAGGUGGAUUGUUAAGUCAGUUGUGAAAGUUUGCGGCUCAACCGUAAAAUUGCAGUUGAAACUGGGAGUCUUGAGUACAGUAGAGGCGGGCGGAAUUCGUGGUGUAGCGGUGAAAUGCUUAGAUAUCACGAAGAACCCCGAUUGCGAAGGCAGCUCACUGGACUGCAACUGACACUGAGGCUCGAAAGUGUGGGUAUCAAACAGGAUUAGAUACCCGAGUAGUC
Molecule: ribosomal RNA, 460 nt
Filed under: uncultured bacterium
Lineage: Bacteria
Description: partial 16S ribosomal RNA
Rfam family: Bacterial small subunit ribosomal RNA
Source: RNAcentral